CUCCGGUGUGGCUGGGCCCCCAGCCCUCGCGGUGUCGGGAGCCUGUGUCCCGCGCUGAGCCUCGGUAGCUCAGAGGACUUGAGAACUCGUGUUCUCCACGGCUGAGGAAGACCCAUUUCAGUUCAGACUAGUCCCAUUUCCAGAGCUGGGAAGCAGCCUGUGUGGCUGGAGCAGCGUGAGGAGUGCACAGUGGCGUAAGAUGCAGCGGAAGAGACAGAAAUGAUACCACCCAAAUCACCUUGUAAAAGCCACAUAGAAAAUUGUUUUUUAUGGUCCAGGAUGACUCUGUUGCCAGCAUCUUCUGAUAGAAGGAAUUACUUUUCCAGGCAGUGCAAUAAUGCUAUUUAUCAAAAGAAACACUGGACAGUCAGAAUGGACUUCAGAGCUGUGUCCUGAGCCAUCUGGCCAACUCUCGGCAAGAAACUUCUUUGUUCUUUAGAGACUGAGCUUUAUCCCCAAGCACUAACAGAGUUGAAAUGGAAGAAGUUGGACUUACUUGUCUUUGGUAUGUAAACAAUAACUUACUAUUUACGCAUAUGAAGGGACAUUUUUAAAGGAAGGAAGCAAUUGUAGGGUGUUUUGUCCCUGCCUCACUGACCUCUCCAUUUUAACCUUGCUCUUUUUAUGUGGGGGGUGUGUUU
RNAcentral lists this long non-coding RNA (641 nucleotides) under Ursus maritimus (polar bear). Its description in RNAcentral is "lncRNA (ENSUMAG00000016403.1)". The record is from RNAcentral. Lineage: Eukaryota; Metazoa; Chordata; Mammalia; Carnivora; Ursidae.